GAUGAAGAACGUAGCGAAAUGCGAUACGUAAUGUGAAUUGCAGAAUUCAGUGAAUCAUCGAAUCUUUGAACGCAUAUUGCGCUCUCUGGUAUUCCGGAGAGCAUGCUUGUUUGAGUAUCAGUAAACACCUCAACUCCCCUUUCUUUUUUUGAAAUGGGAGCUGGACUUGAGUGAUCCCAACGCUUUUCUCACCGAAAAGUGGCGGGUUACUUGAAAUGCAGGUGCAGCUGGACUUUUCUCUGAGCUAAAAGCAUAUCUAUUUAGUCUGCCUAAAAAACAGAUUAUUACCUUUGCUGCAGCUAACAUAAAGGAGACUAGUUCUUGUGCUGACUGAUGCAGGAUUCACAGAGACAGCUUCGGCUGGCCUUUGUAAACUCGAUCUCAAAUCAAGUAAGACUACCCGCUGAACUUAAGCAUAUCAAUAAGCGGAGGA
RNAcentral lists this unclassified non-coding RNA (433 nucleotides) under soil metagenome. RNAcentral's name for it is "partial contains 5.8S ribosomal RNA, internal transcribed spacer 2, and large subunit ribosomal RNA". The stretch from base 1 to 120 matches the Rfam family "5.8S ribosomal RNA", at positions 35 to 154 of the family's 154-position model. The record is from RNAcentral.